This 497-nucleotide ribosomal RNA is filed under the name uncultured bacterium. RNAcentral describes it as "partial 16S ribosomal RNA". It matches the Rfam family "Bacterial small subunit ribosomal RNA", at positions 28 to 507 of the family's 1533-position model. The record is from RNAcentral.
GAUGAACGCUGGCGGCGUGCCUAAUACAUGCAAGUCGAGCGAACAGACGAGGAGCUUUCUCCUCUGACGUUAGCGGCGGACGGGUGAGUAAAACGUGGAUAACCUACCUAUAAGACUGGGGUAAAUUCGGGAAACCGGAGCUAAUACCGGAUAAUAUAUUGAACCGCAUGGUUCAAUAGUGAAGGACGGUUUUGCUGUCACUUAUAGAUGGAUCCGCGCCGCAUUAGCUAGUUGGUAAGGUAACGGCUUAGCAAGGCAACGCUGCGUAGCCGACCUGAGAGGGUGAGCGGCCCCCCUGGACCUGAGACACGGUCCAGACUCCUAUGGGACGCAGCAGUAGGGAAUCUUCCGCAAUGGGCUAAAGCCUGACGGAGCAACGCCGCGUGAGUGAUGAAGGUCUUCGGAUAGUAAAACUCUGUUAUUAGGGAAGAACAAAUGUGUAAGUAACUAUGCACGUCUUGACGGUACCUAAUCAGAAAGCCACGGCUAACUACGUG